UACGGAGGGUGCAAACGUUGCUCGGAAUCAUUGGGCGUAAAGCGCACGUAGGCGGUCCAGCAAGUCGGGUGUGAAAUCCCUCGGCUUAACCGAGGAAGUGCAUUCGAAACUACUGGACUUGAAUACUGGAGAGGAUCGCGGAAUUCCCGGUGUAGAGGUGAAAUUCGUAGAUAUCGGGAGGAACACCAGUGGCGAAGGCGGCGAUCUGGACAGAUAUUGACGCUGAGGUGCGAAAGCGUGGGGAGCAAACAGGA
This 254-nucleotide ribosomal RNA is filed under the name uncultured prokaryote. Its description in RNAcentral is "partial 16S ribosomal RNA". It matches the Rfam family "Bacterial small subunit ribosomal RNA", at positions 524 to 777 of the family's 1533-position model. The record is from RNAcentral.